Astyanax mexicanus (Mexican tetra) is the source of this 1276-nucleotide long non-coding RNA. RefSeq lists it as uncharacterized. The transcript is spliced from 3 exons. The record is from RefSeq and is a predicted model, not a curated record. Lineage: Eukaryota; Metazoa; Chordata; Actinopteri; Characiformes; Acestrorhamphidae.
CCCGCCCAUAAAACUACCAACACCAUAAUAUACAACACAGAUUCACCUUAACCAUUACUGGCACAUUUAUGGAAUCUGUACAGAUAUAAAUAAUAUAAGUGGAUAUCAUCAAAGAUCUGGUGGAUAUGUAUAUUUUCUUUCUAUCAAGCAGCAAAAAGUUUUUUAAAUAUUAGUUGAGGUAAAUGUAUGAGUAGAAUAGCAGUGCUGAGGUAAAAGUAUGAGUAGAAUAGCUCUACUGAGGUAAAUGUAUAAGUAGAAUAGCACUGCCGAGGUCAAUGUAUGAGUAGAAUAGCACUGCUGAGGUAAAUGUAUGAGUAGAAUAGCAGUGCUGAGGUAAAAGUAUGAGUAGAAUAGCUCUACUGAGGUAAAUGUAUGAGUAGAAUAGCAGUGCUGAGGUAAAUGUAUGAGUAGAAUAGCAGUGCUGAGGUAAAUGUAAGAGUAGAAUAGCAGUGCUGAGGUAAAAGUAUGAGUAGAAUAGCUCUACUGAGGUAAAUGUAUAAGUAGAAUAGCACUGCCGAGGUCAAUGUAUGAGUAGAAUAGCACUGCUGAGGUAAAUGUAUGAGUAGAAUAGCAGUGCUGAGGUAAAAGUAUGAGUAGAAUAGCUCUACUGAGGUAAAUGUAUGAGUAGAAUAGCAGUGCUGAGGUAAAAGUAUGAGUAGAAUAGCUCUACUGAGGUAAAUGUAUAAGUAGAAUAGCACUGCCGAGGUCAAUGUAUGAGUAGAAUAGCAGUGCUGAGGUAAAUGUAUGAGUAGAAUAGCAGUGCUGAGGUAAAAGUAUGAGUAGAAUAGCACCGCUGAGGUAAAUGUAUGAGUAGAAUAGCACUGCUGAGGUAAAUGUAUGAGUAGAAUAGCACUGCUGAGGUCAAUGUAUGAGUAGAAUAGCAGUGCUGAGGUAAAAGUAUGAGUAGAAUAGCUCUACUGAGGUAAAUGUAUGAGUAGAAUAGCAGUGCUGAGGUAAAAGUAUGAGUAGAAUAGCUCUACUGAGGUAAAUGUAUGAGUAGAAUAGCAGUGCUGAGGUAAAAGUAUGAGUAGAAUAGCACUGCUGAGGUAAAUGUAUGCGCAUAAUAGCUCUAUUGAAGUACAUUUAUGGAACAUUAAUAGAAACUGUACAGGUGUAAAUUGGCUGGAUAUCAUCAGCAAUCUGGUAGAUAUGUAUAUUUUCUUUCUAUUAAGCAGCACAAAAAGUUGUUAAAUGUUAAUUUUACAUUUCAAAACCCUUUCCUUUACUGAGGAAUAGGACUCUCAUGAUAACUCUUAAUUAUUUAUUUUUGGAAAAA